GACGAACGCUGGCGGCGUGCUUAACACAUGCAAGUCGAGCGGUAAGGCCCUUUCGGGGUGCUGACGAGUGGCGGACGGGUGAGUAAUGCUUAGGAAUCUGCCUGGGUGGUGGGGAUAACCCGGGGAAACUCGGGCUAAUACCGCAUCCGCCUCCCAUCAUAUCGGGUGGGAGGGAAAGCGGGGGACCUUCGGGCCUCGCGCCAUCAGAUGAGCCUAAGUCCGAUUAGCUAG
This 231-nucleotide ribosomal RNA is filed under the name uncultured bacterium. RNAcentral's name for it is "partial 16S ribosomal RNA". It matches the Rfam family "Bacterial small subunit ribosomal RNA", at positions 28 to 248 of the family's 1533-position model. The record is from RNAcentral.